CAAUUCUUCUGAAGAUUCUAAAUCAUUUUGAUAACCUUGAGAACAUAUUGCGAUUGAACCAUUUCAAUCAAAUAUUAAGCGUGAUGCAGGGGAGCUCUAGGACCAUCGUCAAUACGCAGAUCCUUAGUAUUGCUACAAGGAAUUCUUGUAUUAGAGAUCCUACAACCAUUCAAUUCCUUUUUGAAGUUUCAAGGUCCUUGCAUGAUAGCAUAAAUCUCUCAACUAUUAAGGAAAAGGAG
This 239-nucleotide unclassified non-coding RNA is filed under the name Hevea brasiliensis (rubber tree). Lineage: Eukaryota; Viridiplantae; Streptophyta; Magnoliopsida; Malpighiales; Euphorbiaceae. The record is from RNAcentral.